UGCGCGUGAGUGAUUGCCAACUGUUUUUAAAUGUGAAUCUCAUUGGUUAAAUAGAGUCUCAUACUAACUAAUAGUUGGGAUGUGGAUGACUCUCUCUUAAUUUGCAAAUCUCUUCUGUCAUUUGUAAAACAAAAUAAGAUAAGCAUCAUCGUUGACAAUGCAAAGAUCCAACUAGUGACAGAAUUCGCCUCAAUUUCGACGAAAGAUUUGAUAGCAAACCUGGUUCGUAGGAUUGAUGUGCCCAAUAUGCUAAGCCCAAAAAAUAGCAAAAGUGUAGAUCCCGUAGUCCUCUCAGCUAAGCCCAUUAGCCCAAAGUAAGACUUCUUCCCGCUAAUUGCUAAGGACCAAUGGGUUUGGUUUUAUGUUGAAUUCGCACCGGUUUUUUUUUUUUUUUUGGGGGGGUGGAAUCUAUCAUGAUCAUUGUUGAUUAGAUCACACAAUCUAUAACCUAGUAAGGAAAAAACAAACCUGUUAAGAUGCAAGGGUUAAAAAUGCGUCCGAAAAUCAUACGGAGUUUUUACCAUAUAUUUUUUCUUAUUUUACUUAACGUAUUAAACGAUCGUGAUUAGAUAUACGUAAAAAGAACUACUAUUCAUCUUGCAAAUUUACAGUAAUUUUAUGGACAAUUCGUAUCAUCUUCAUCCGAAAAGAGGGUAUGUGCAUAUUUAAUCUGAACCUACGUUAUUAGAUAAAAUUCGGAAUAACCACAUGUUACUACAUUUUUUUUUUUGAAGUUAGUAAAGAGGAGAAUAAGAAAAGAGGAGAAGUUUUUGUGUAUGAUAGAGAAAGUGAAUCUGGGCACGUGUGUUUGUAACACUCUUGUUUUUAUUUUUUAUUUUUAGGUGAAGAUGAAAUGUUCACAAGCAAGUUUUAAAUGCUCUUUUAAGGUGGAACAAAAGAAUAUUAUGCAUAUGCAGCAUAGGUAUAGUCUAUAGAAUACAUUAAUUAUUGGCUAAAAACAAUAUGUAGUGAGAUUCGAUGCUGGCUUAAUUAAAUGGAAAUGAUUAACAACAAAUACAUCAGCUGGUCGGGGCAAGGCAUUCAAUUGGGUUUUUUUCUUUUGUGCAUGCCACGCAGAAGAGAAAUGACAAACAGUGUGUUUUUGCUUGUUGAUGAUAGAUUUGAUAAUGUCUGAACCUAACAAAACUUGAAAGCCUCCUUCAAUGGCAUGAUAAAAGUCCUCUGAAAAAACAGAGUCCAAAUACAAAUUGGAACGCACCUACUCAUACAGGUGGUCAAUGGUCAUGCAUAACCCUAAUGCAAUAAUUGAUUACUUUAUUAGAGUUUAGGCUAACAAUCAAUACUAGGUGCCAUCAAGAUGAGAGAUGGUAGGUGAGGAAAAAGUCCCCCCAACUGUCCUCUUUUCCUGUAUGAGGGUGGGUUUCU
RNAcentral lists this long non-coding RNA (1386 nucleotides) under Prunus persica (peach). RNAcentral describes it as "long non-coding RNA (PPER_LNC002926)". Lineage: Eukaryota; Viridiplantae; Streptophyta; Magnoliopsida; Rosales; Rosaceae. The record is from RNAcentral.